UUUUAGCCCCGAUAGGAACGGCAUCCUUUUGCUUUUUUUCUUUAAAAAAGCAAAAGAUAUAGUGGAUAGCGGGAGUGGCU
Molecule: small RNA, 80 nt
Filed under: Flavobacterium crassostreae
Lineage: Bacteria; Pseudomonadati; Bacteroidota; Flavobacteriia; Flavobacteriales; Flavobacteriaceae
Description: Flavo-1 RNA
Rfam family: Flavo-1 RNA
Source: Rfam by way of RNAcentral